Molecule: ribosomal RNA, 429 nt
Filed under: uncultured bacterium
Lineage: Bacteria
Description: bacterial SSU rRNA
Rfam family: Bacterial small subunit ribosomal RNA
Source: RNAcentral
CGGAACAAGGACGACCGGCGCGACGGUGACGUAACGCGUAUGACUAUACCUUACUUUGCAGAGGAUAGCCAGAGUAAUUUGGAUUAAUACCUCAUAGUAUAGUACUUUGGCAUCAAGGAACUAUUAAAGUCACAACGGCAAAAGAUGAGCAUGCGUCCCAUUAGCUAGUUGGUAAGGUAACGGCUUACCAAGGCUACGAUGGGUAGGGGUCCUGAGAGGGAGAUCCCCCACACUGGUACUGAGACACGGACCAGACUCCUACGGGAGGCAGCAGUGAGGAAUAUUGGACAAUGGGCGCAAGCCUGAUCCAGCCAUGCCGCGUGCAGGAUGACGGUCCUAUGGAUUGUAAACUGCUUUUAUACAGGAAGAAACACUCCGACGUGUCGGAGCUUGACGGUACUGUAAGAAUAAGGAUCGGCUAACUCCGUG